Molecule: long non-coding RNA, 1242 nt
Filed under: Phasianus colchicus (ring-necked pheasant)
Lineage: Eukaryota; Metazoa; Chordata; Aves; Galliformes; Phasianidae
Description: lncRNA (ENSPCLG00000011195.1)
Source: RNAcentral
GAAGAUCUCCAUCCUCCUCCAACAAGAAGCACACUGCAAUCCCUCCUAAAUCCAGUUAGUUGGAUGGGACCAGAAAGGUGCCUGAAACUGCUUAUCUGUGGGAGCUGCUCCUGUCAUUACAUCCCUGGUGAGGACAGCAGGCAUUGCACAAGAAGGAACCUGCAGUGAUAUUGAUGCUCCACUAGCUCCAACCAAGGUAACCAUUAGCACUUCAUGGACCACGGUUUUCAUUUCCCAUUGGCUUUGAAUUACUCAGCCUGGGACUGAGCUGAAAGGUAAUUUCAAGAGGCAAAAAGAGGUAGGGAGAAGCCCAACGUUUGUAUUUAAUUCUGACUUAAAUUCUGCCCUUUUUCAAGACUUGCAUCAAAGACAGACUGAUGGGGAUGCUGUUGUGGCAAGAGGAGAGAACCGGAUUGCCCACUGGAUGAGGAAUUGUGGAGCAGUCCUCAAGGAAACCCCAGUGGUCAGACCAAUCCAGCAGAGAUACAAUUGGCAAUACAUUCAGAAUAAGGACACUGAUAUUUACAACCAUGUAGUCUCCUCCAACCAUUUUUAUUUGAGGUUGCCCCCUCAAAUAGUGCUUAAGCCAAGAGGGUGCAGGAAUGUUUGGAGUUCUCCCCACGAAUUCCUGUUUCGUCUCUCUCCUUCAGUUUGAAGUGGUGCUUAUAGACAGAAGCUUCACAGGAAGGAAGCAAAUGCCCCUAUGUCUAGAAUAUCCCCUUUAAUGGGUUUAAACUCUCUUUCUGGACUGCCAUAGUUAUCCUCUAGGAUGGUUGCAACACUGCAUCAUCCAUCCUUCACUCCACCAUCACUAUAUACUUUCAGGCCAGGCACUCAAAUGCCAACGAAUCACCUGUUCUUACUUUUCUUCUUCCCAGAUCUUUUUCUUUAUCAGUGGACCCAAAAUUCUGUGCAACUCUCCACCGUGCCAGCUUUGUACAAAUGGGAAUCCAUAGCAAAAGUGAGCAUAACCUGCAACAAAGUGAAGUCCAAAUCAAACAAGUAAACCAAACAAACAAACAAGAAACCCACAUAUUUUUCAGCAAUGGGAGAGAAGCUCUCAAGGGGAGGAAGCCUGGCUCGCCAGCAGGGGAUGGUAAAGCAAACUGCUGUGCUGCUGCUGGCCUCACACCCCUCCUGCCUCCGCCACCAGCUCUGGGAUCAGCACGUGCUGCAGCAGUAGGGCACCCAGCCCCACAUCACUGCCUUGAGACAGAGAUCUGUUACUGAAGGUAGAAGAUU